This 3080-nucleotide ribosomal RNA is filed under the name Providencia rettgeri. Its description in RNAcentral is "23S ribosomal RNA". It matches the Rfam family "Bacterial large subunit ribosomal RNA". The record is from RNAcentral. Lineage: Bacteria; Pseudomonadati; Pseudomonadota; Gammaproteobacteria; Enterobacterales; Morganellaceae.
UUAAGCGACUAAGCGUACACGGUGGAUGCCUAGGCAAUCAGAGGCGAUGAAGGACGUGCUAAUCUGCGAUAAGCGUCGGUAAGGUGAUAUGAACCGUUACAACCGACGAUUUCCGAAUGGGGAAACCCAGUGCAAUUCGUUGCACUAUCGUUUGAUGAAUACAUAGUCAAACGAAGCGAACCGGGGGAACUGAAACAUCUCAGUACCCCGAGGAAAAGAAAUCAACCGAGAUUCCCCUAGUAGCGGCGAGCGAACGGGGAGCAGCCCAGAGUCUUAAUCAGCAUUAGCAUCAGGAGAACGGUCUGGAAAGUCCGGCAGUAAAGGGUGAUAGCCCCGUAUCCGAAGGUGUUAGUGUUGUGAACUCGACGAGUAGGGCGGGACACGUGUUAUCCUGUCUGAAUAUGGGGGGACCAUCCUCCAAGGCUAAAUACUCCUGAUUGACCGAUAGUGAACCAGUACCGUGAGGGAAAGGCGAAAAGAACCCCGGCGAGGGGAGUGAAAUAGAACCUGAAACCGUGUACGUACAAGCAGUGGGAGCCCCAUCACUCAAGUGCCUCGGCAAUUGAGUGAGGGUGUAAAACCAUCACAAUAACAGCGCAGGAUUUGCCAACAAGAUUGGCUGAUUUUUUCAAGCCGCAGCGCAGUGGACAUCGAAGUCCAUGAGCAGCGGAAGUUAAAAAAUCGGGCAAGAUUGGCUGCAAAGACAAGCGGGACAUUUGAGGAUGGGGUGACUGCGUACCUUUUGUAUAAUGGGUCAGCGACUUAUAUUCUGUAGCAAGGUUAACCGUAUAGGGGAGCCGUAGGGAAACCGAGUCUUAACUGGGCGAAUAAGUUGCAGGGUAUAGACCCGAAACCCGGUGAUCUAGCCAUGGGCAGGUUGAAGGUUGGGUAACACUAACUGGAGGACCGAACCGACUAAUGUUGAAAAAUUAGCGGAUGACUUGUGGCUGGGGGUGAAAGGCCAAUCAAACCGGGAGAUAGCUGGUUCUCCCCGAAAGCUAUUUAGGUAGCGCCUCGUGAACUCAUCUUCGGGGGUAGAGCACUGUUUCGACUAGGGGGUCAUCCCGACUUACCAACUCGAUGCAAACUACGAAUACCGAAGAAUGUUAUCACGGGAGACACACGGCGGGUGCUAACGUUCGUCGUGAAGAGGGAAACAACCCAGACCGCCAGCUAAGGUCCCAAAGUCAUAGUUAAGUGGGAAACGAAGUGGGAAGGCUCAGACAGCCAGGAUGUUGGCUUAGAAGCAGCCAUCAUUUAAAGAAAGCGUAAUAGCUCACUGGUCGAGUCGGCCUGCGCGGAAGAUGUAACGGGGCUAAACUAUGCACCGAAGCUGCGGCAGCGAUAUGUAAAUAUUGUUGGGUAGGGGAGCGUUCUGUAAGCCUGUGAAGGUGUGCUGUGAGGCAUGCUGGAGGUAUCAGAAGUGCGAAUGCUGACAUAAGUAACGAUAAUGCGGGUGAAAAACCCGCACGCCGGAAGACCAAGGGUUCCUGUCCAACGUUAAUCGGGGCAGGGUGAGUCGACCCCUAAGGCGAGGCAGAAAUGCGUAGUCGAUGGGAAACGGGUUAAUAUUCCCGUACUGGUGAUAAUUGCGAUGGGGGGACGGAGAAGGCUAGGCUAUCCGGGCGACGGUUGUCCCGGUUUAAGGAUGUAGGCAGGUGAAUUAGGCAAAUCCGGUUCACUACAUGCUGAGGUCCGACGACGAGUCACUACGGUGAUGAAGUAGCUCAUGCCCCGCUUCCAGGAAAAGCCUCUAAGCUCUAGAUUAUCAUUAAUCGUACCCCAAACCGACACAGGUGGUCAGGUAGAGAAUACUCAGGCGCUUGAGAGAACUCGGGUGAAGGAACUAGGCAAAAUGGUGCCGUAACUUCGGGAGAAGGCACGCUGGCAUUAGGUGAAGUGGUUUACCCAUGGAGCUGAAGCCAGUCGCAGAUACCAGCUGGCUGCAACUGUUUAUUAAAAACACAGCACUGUGCAAACACGAAAGUGGACGUAUACGGUGUGACGCCUGCCCGGUGCUGGAAGGUUAAUUGAUGGGGUUAUCCGUAAGGAGAAGCUCUUGAUCGAAGCCCCAGUAAACGGCGGCCGUAACUAUAACGGUCCUAAGGUAGCGAAAUUCCUUGUCGGGUAAGUUCCGACCUGCACGAAUGGCGUAAUGAUGGCCAGGCUGUCUCCACCCGAGACUCAGUGAAAUUGAACUCGCUGUGAAGAUGCAGUGUACCCGCGGCAAGACGGAAAGACCCCGUGAACCUUUACUAUAGCUUGACACUGAACAUUGAGCCUUGAUGUGUAGGAUAGGUGGGAGGCUUUGAAGCGUGGACGCCAGUCUGCGUGGAGCCAACCUUGAAAUACCACCCUUUAAUGUUUGAUGUUCUAACGUUGCCCCAUUAUCUGGGGUGCGGACAGUGUCUGGUGGGUAGUUUGACUGGGGCGGUCUCCUCCCAAAGAGUAACGGAGGAGCACGAAGGUUGGCUAAGCAUGGUCGGACAUCAUGCGGUUAGUGCAAAGGCAUAAGCCAGCUUGACUGCGAGAGUGACGGCUCGAGCAGGUACGAAAGUAGGUCUUAGUGAUCCGGUGGUUCUGAAUGGAAGGGCCAUCGCUCAACGGAUAAAAGGUACUCCGGGGAUAACAGGCUGAUACCGCCCAAGAGUUCAUAUCGACGGCGGUGUUUGGCACCUCGAUGUCGGCUCAUCACAUCCUGGGGCUGAAGUAGGUCCCAAGGGUACGGCUGUUCGCCGUUUAAAGUGGUACGCGAGCUGGGUUUAGAACGUCGUGAGACAGUUCGGUCCCUAUCUGCCGUGGGCGUUGGAAGAUUGAAAGGGGCUGCUCCUAGUACGAGAGGACCGGAGUGGACGCACCACUGGUGUUCGGGUUGUCAUGCCAAUGGCAUUGCCCGGUAGCUAAGUGCGGAAGAGAUAACCGCUGAAAGCAUCUAAGCGGGAAACUUGCCUUGAGAUGAGUCUUCCCUGACUCUUUAAGAGUCCUAAAGGAACGUUUAAGACUAAGACGUUGAUAGGUUGGGUGUGUAAGCGUAGCGAUACGUUGAGCUAACCAAUACUAAUGAACCGUGAGGCUUAACC